GAGGGGAAAAACAAGCCCGGAGUCCGGGCUGCGGUCACAUGAUGGGGGGAAGGGAGGGGAACGCGAUGAAUGGCGAAAGAGGGUGGGGGAUGGACUUGGCGUGAACCGGGAGGCACCGCUCUGUGUGACCCAAGGAGGAGGCUUGGCAGGCGAUUCCAGUCUCCGCCUUUCAACCUAUGCUGCCACCGCAGGCCGAUUGAAACAAAACAAAACAAGCCAGGCGAAGUGGACAGCAAGGUUUUUGUAGCUUUAAAUGCUGCGUGCUGUCUAGGGUGUUUCACUCUCCGCUGUGCACUCUACACUCGAGUUCAUUCUUAGGGAGUUUUCAGCUACAGUCGUUUUUAGAAGGAGCACUGACAGCCAGCUCUCGCCUUCAAAAAGAAAAUGAUCCCAUUUAGUCAUCAUAGUCCUGUUUUCCUCAUCCAUAAUAAUACUUUACUCACAGAGUUGUUCUGAGUUUAAAAUAAAAUUAGAUGAAGUACAUGGAAGUGCUGUGUAGGAGUUUUGGGAUGGUGGUUGAUAACUAAGACAAAGUGCUGAAGAAAUGAUAGAAGUUGCAAAGAGACGUUAGUGUACUAU
RNAcentral lists this small RNA (579 nucleotides) under Pan troglodytes (chimpanzee). RNAcentral's name for it is "processed transcript". The record is from RNAcentral. Lineage: Eukaryota; Metazoa; Chordata; Mammalia; Primates; Hominidae.